AUGCAUGUCUAAGUAUAAGCAAUUAUACCGUGAAACUGCGAAUGGCUCAUUAAAUCAGUUAUCGUUUAUUUGAUAGUACCUUACUACUUGGAUAACCGUGGUAAUUCUAGAGCUAAUACAUGCUAAAAACCUCAACUUCGGAAGAGGUGUAUUUAUUAGAUAAAAAACCAACGCCCUUCGGGGCUUCUUGGUGAUUCAUGAUAACUUUACGGAUCGCAUGGCCUUGCGCCGGCGACGGUUCAUUCAAAUUUCUGCCCUAUCAACUUUCGAUGGUAAGGUAUUGGCUUACCAUGGUUUCAACGGGUAACGGGGAAUUAGGGUUCGAUUCCGGAGAGGGAGCCUGAGAAACGGCUACCACAUCCAAGGAAGGCAGCAGGCGCGCAAAUUACCCAAUCCCGACACGGGGAGGUAGUGACAAUAAAUACUGAUACAGGGCUCUUUUGGGUCUUGUAAUUGGAAUGAGUACAAUUUAAACCUCUUAACGAGGAACAAUUGGAGG
RNAcentral lists this ribosomal RNA (499 nucleotides) under Alternaria longissima. Its description in RNAcentral is "SSU rRNA". It matches the Rfam family "Eukaryotic small subunit ribosomal RNA", at positions 51 to 554 of the family's 1831-position model. Lineage: Eukaryota; Fungi; Ascomycota; Dothideomycetes; Pleosporales; Pleosporaceae. The record is from RNAcentral.